ACAAAAUUAAGUUAGAGUAGACUGAAUGUUUUCAAAACAUUUAGGGGUGGUUACACCAUUUUGUG
Molecule: transfer RNA, 65 nt
Filed under: Echeneibothrium williamsi
Lineage: Eukaryota; Metazoa; Platyhelminthes; Cestoda; Rhinebothriidea; Echeneibothriidae
Description: tRNA-Trp
Source: RNAcentral